This 97-nucleotide transfer RNA is filed under the name Pterulicium gracile. RNAcentral describes it as "Pterula gracilis tRNA". It matches the Rfam family "tRNA". Rfam says of the family: Transfer RNA (tRNA) molecules are approximately 80 nucleotides in length. Their secondary structure includes four short double-helical elements and three loops (D, anti-codon, and T loops). Further hydrogen bonds mediate the characteristic L-shaped molecular structure. tRNAs have two regions of fundamental functional importance: the anti-codon, which is responsible for specific mRNA codon recognition, and the 3' end, to which the tRNAs corresponding amino acid is attached (by aminoacyl-tRNA synthetases). tRNAs cope with the degeneracy of the genetic code in two manners: having more than one tRNA (with a specific anti-codon) for a particular amino acid; and 'wobble' base-pairing, i.e. permitting non-standard base-pairing at the 3rd anti-codon position. Lineage: Eukaryota; Fungi; Basidiomycota; Agaricomycetes; Agaricales; Pterulaceae. The record is from Rfam by way of RNAcentral.
GCUUGGUUGGCUCAGUUGGAAGAGCGUCAGUCUCAUAGUCUGAGAGCGUUCUGCGCUUGUAAUCUGAAGGUCGUGAGUUCGAGCCUCACACCGAGCA